UCAGCUCCCAUCCUCCCUCUUUCCUCCUCCCCUCGCUCCCAUCCUUCCAGGCUCAUUGGUCAUUUCUAAUCUUAUAUUAACCCCUCUGCUAGUUAGGGGCUGUUUGCUUUCUGUCUCUCUCCUCACUGCCCCAGGAACACUUCUGCUAUACAGGAGGAAUUAUUGCAACUGUUGAGAUUCUUCAUCCUGUUUUUCCAGCCAGCUCCUCCCUGGAAACCACGUCUGCUUGGAAUAGAGAACUGAUGGAGCUCUCUGCUAAACCUUGCCUGAUCUAGUGGAGGUGGUUAAGUAUUAAGUAUUUGGGUUCCAACAAGCUUCUCUGCAUGAGACAACCUGAAUAACUGGGCUGUCUACAAAACUCUAAUUAUGUCCAUUAAUUUUCUAACCAACUAGGAGGAGAUGAGAAUGCUCCUCCUACAGUCCAGGUCCCAGUGGCCCAACUUCCUCGUCUGCUGACUCCCUGGGUUCCUCAUGGGAGCCUAACCGGAGCACCUUCAUAUGUGGCAGUUCCCAGCCAGAGAGCUGUGCACCUUGCACCCAGCAGUCCUUGUCUGUAAAUAAUCUACCACCCACAUUUCUGUUCUACUUUUCAAACCCACUUCUAUGCUAUU
Molecule: non-coding RNA, 611 nt
Organism: Manis javanica (Malayan pangolin)
Lineage: Eukaryota; Metazoa; Chordata; Mammalia; Pholidota; Manidae
Source: RefSeq, a predicted model, not a curated record